RNAcentral lists this ribosomal RNA (200 nucleotides) under uncultured bacterium. Its description in RNAcentral is "partial 16S ribosomal RNA". It matches the Rfam family "Bacterial small subunit ribosomal RNA", at positions 28 to 224 of the family's 1533-position model. The record is from RNAcentral.
GGUGAACGCUGGCGGCAGGCCUAACACAUGCAAGUCGAACGGCAGCACAGGAGAGCUUGCUCUCCGGGUGGCGAGUGGCGGACGGGUGAGGAAUGCGUCGGAAUCUGCCUAUUUGUGGGGGAUAACGUAGGGAAACUUACGCUAAUACCGCAUACGACCUACGGGUGAAAGCCGGGGACCUUCGGGCCUGGCGCAGAUAG